GUGCUAAUACCGAAUGUUGCAUUAAGCCUGCAUGGGCUUGAUACUAAAGGUGGCCUCUAUUUAUAAGCUAUCACUAGAAGAUGGGUCUGCGUCUGAUUAGCUAGUUGGUGAGGUAAUGGCUCACCAAGGCGAUGAUCAGUAGCCGGUCUGAGAGGAUGAACGGCCACACUGGGACUGAGACACGGCCCAGACUCCUACGGGAGGCAGCAGUGGGGAAUCUUCCGCAAUGGACGAAAGUCUGACGGAGCAACGCCGCGUGAGUGAAGAAGGUUUUCGGAUCGUAAAGCUCUGUCUUUGAGGACGAAUGUGUCUAAUGUGAAUAAUGUUAGAUAAUGACGGUACUCGAGGAGGAAGCCACGGCUAACUACGUGCCAGCAGCCGCGGUAAUACGUAGGUGGCAAGCGUUGUCCGGAAUUAUUGGGCGUAAAGCGCGCGCAGGCGGGAUAUUAAGUCUGUUUUAAAAGUUCGGGGCUCAACCCCGUGAUGGAAUGGAAACUAAUAUUCUUGAGUGCAGGAGAGGAAAGUGGAAUUCCCAGUGUAGCGGUGAAAUGCGUAGAUAUUGGGAGGAACACCAGUGGCGAAGGCGACUUUCUGGACUGUGUCUGACGCUGAGGCGCGAAAGCCAGGGGAGUGAACGGGAUUAGAUACCCCGGUAAUCCUGGCCGUAAACGAUGGGUACUAGGUGUAGGAGGUAUCGACCCCUUCUGUGCCGGAGUUAACGCAAUAAGUACCCCGCCUGGGGAGUACGGCCGCAAGGUUGAAACUCAAAGGAAUUGACGGGGGCCCGCACAAGCGGUGGAGUAUGUGGUUUAAUUCGACGCAACGCGAAGAACCUUACCAGGACUUGACAUCGAUUGAAAUACCUAGAGAUAGGUACCUUCCCUUCGGGGAACAGAAGACAGGUGGUGCAUGGCUGU
RNAcentral lists this ribosomal RNA (917 nucleotides) under bacterium enrichment culture clone PCP120. Its description in RNAcentral is "bacterial SSU rRNA". It matches the Rfam family "Bacterial small subunit ribosomal RNA", at positions 160 to 1052 of the family's 1533-position model. The record is from RNAcentral.